ACUGAUUGAUGGUGCUUGCACCUGAUUGACGAUGGAUCACCAGUGAGUGGCGGACGGGUGAGUAACACGUAGGUAACCUGCCCCGGAGCGGGGGAUAACAUUUGGAAACAGAUGCUAAUACCGCAUAACAACAAAAGCCACAUGGCUUUUGUUUGAAAGAUGGCUUUGGCUAUCACUCUGGGAUGGACCUGCGGUGCAUUAGCUAGUUGGUAAGGUAACGGCUUACCAAGGCGAUGAUGCAUAGCCGAGUUGAGAGACUGAUCGGCCACAAUGGAACUGAGACACGGUCCAUACUCCUACGGGAGGCAGCAGUAGGGAAUCUUCCACAAUGGGCGCAAGCCUGA
RNAcentral lists this ribosomal RNA (344 nucleotides) under Limosilactobacillus reuteri. RNAcentral describes it as "bacterial SSU rRNA". It matches the Rfam family "Bacterial small subunit ribosomal RNA", at positions 47 to 386 of the family's 1533-position model. Lineage: Bacteria; Bacillati; Bacillota; Bacilli; Lactobacillales; Lactobacillaceae. The record is from RNAcentral.